This 216-nucleotide unclassified non-coding RNA is filed under the name Hevea brasiliensis (rubber tree). Lineage: Eukaryota; Viridiplantae; Streptophyta; Magnoliopsida; Malpighiales; Euphorbiaceae. The record is from RNAcentral.
UGGUUGAGCUGUGAGAAAUAAAUUCUAUGAAUCACUGAGGGAUUUUUAUAGCAGUGUUUUUACGAGUGUUUUAAAACGGUUUGCCGUUUCAAUACAUUGAAUACAAGUUCCCUUAUUUAUUAUGGUAGAUGAUUGGUUGGUGUCUACAUUUUUCUCUGUUCGUUCAAGAAAAUAUUGUGGUUUCUCAAAUAUUUGUUGAUCAGUGAUAGACUUCUG